UGUUUUGUAAUUAUAGGGCUUGAUUUACAGAGGUUGGUGUAUAGUGGUUUUCUAUAAGCAAUUUGAACAGUAAUGUAAAUCAAGCCCUAUAAUUACAAAACACAUUUACAUUACUGUUCAAAUUGCUUAUAGAAAACCACUAUACACCAACCUCUGUAAAUCAAGCCCUAUAAUUACAAAACAAUCAAAAUGAAUUUACGAGGGAAAUAACUUAUGAAAAGUUUCUUCCUUUUUGAAAAAAAAAAAAUAAAUGAAUACGGAAUUACUAAUUUCUUAUACAAGAAGUCCAUAGGGUUAUGAGCUUCAUUUAUCCUUUUCUGCAGUUCGAAGCAACUCUCUAGCCAUGGCAGAGAAUGACUUGGCUGUGUCUUGCAUCUCUGUGGCUCUUUGAUUGACACCCUGCAAUUUCCUCACGUUCUCAUGCAACUUGCUUUCAGCCAUUUUUGCAGCACUUGUCUCGCUAGAUGAAGAAAACCCAUAUUUCUUCUUGAUUUGAUCAACGGCACCAGCCUUCUCAUCCUGUUCCUCUUCCUUGAUGUUUUUUUCAUUCUUAACCUUCAUAUGUUUUAUUUUCCCUAGAAGUUUGCUUGCCAAUUUCUGCUUAUUAAGAGCUGCCAAGAUAUUCUGAUCCUUGGGUCUCUCUUCAUGUUCAUCAAGGUCAAUAUCAUCUAUGUCCAAGUCAUUCCGAUCUGUGUCUAUGACAAUGCUAUUGCUAUUUUCAGCAUUACAAGCAAAGUUAGCUGUUGAAAAGAUCAUUGAAAGUUCUUCAAUACUUUCU
RNAcentral lists this unclassified non-coding RNA (778 nucleotides) under Hevea brasiliensis (rubber tree). The record is from RNAcentral. Lineage: Eukaryota; Viridiplantae; Streptophyta; Magnoliopsida; Malpighiales; Euphorbiaceae.